Long non-coding RNA from Sapajus apella (tufted capuchin), 500 nucleotides. RefSeq lists it as uncharacterized. The transcript has 3 exons. The record is from RefSeq and is a predicted model, not a curated record. Lineage: Eukaryota; Metazoa; Chordata; Mammalia; Primates; Cebidae.
UGCCCUGCCACCAUCUGGCAUCUAAGGUGGAGAUGCAGAGGAGGCAGGAUUCUCCUGUCUACUCGCUGUGCUGUUUCCCACUGAGCAGCUCAGCCAGGGGUCAGGGCGCAAAUAAAGUCCCCUCCCCUCAUGACACACUUCCCAAGGGGAGACGCUGACACAAACCAGGCAGAAAAUUAAUAAAACAUGGGGACAGUGUUGGCUUUGUUCUGUGCUAUUAGAGGAAGAAAACUGAAACACAAAAGUAGCCUUCAGCCACGGAAGAGAGAAAGCGCAUGGUCCCUGGUCCAGCCUGCCACUGUCAUUGAAGAAGGUCUGAGGAGCAACACCCAGGCUCUCCAGAGAAAGGUGGGACAGAGGAGAGGGUGAGGCCCGGGAGGGGACGCUGACCACUCCCCGGCAACCCACCUGCAAGAACCACUUCAGAGGACAAAGCCUCAGGGAGCUCUGACGUCCACAAAGGACACGUAAGACUUGUUUUCCAGGCCUCCUCUGAGACA